Molecule: ribosomal RNA, 446 nt
Filed under: uncultured bacterium
Lineage: Bacteria
Description: bacterial SSU rRNA
Rfam family: Bacterial small subunit ribosomal RNA
Source: RNAcentral
ACUCCUACGGGAGGCAGCAGUGGGGAAUAUUGCACAAUGGGCGCAAGCCUGAUGCAGCAACGCCGCGUGAGCGAUGAAGGCCUUCGGGUCGUAAAGCUCUGUCCUCAAGGAAGAAUAAAUGACGGUACUUGAGGAGGAAGCCCCGGCUAACUACGUGCCAGCAGCCGCGGUAAUACGUAGGGGCAAGCGUUAUCCGGAAUCACUGGGCGUAAAGGGUGCGUAGGCGGUUUUUCAAGUCAGAAGUGAAAGGCUAUGGCUCAACCAUAGUAAGCUUUUGAAACUGUAAACUUGAGUGCAGGAGAGGAAAGUGGAAUUCCUAGUGUAGAGGUGAAAUUCGUAGAUAUUAGGAGGAACACCAGUGGCGAAGGCGACUUUCUGGACUGUAACUGACGCUGAGGCACGAAAGCUGGGGAGCGAACAGGAUUAGAUACCCUGGUAGCACAGAG